Thunnus maccoyii (southern bluefin tuna) is the source of this 452-nucleotide long non-coding RNA. RefSeq lists it as uncharacterized. NCBI's taxonomy places the organism in Eukaryota, Metazoa, Chordata, Actinopteri, Scombriformes, Scombridae. The record is from RefSeq and is a predicted model, not a curated record. The transcript is spliced from 2 exons.
UCAGAGGUAUGUAGGCUGAUAUUUGAUUGCUAGAAAGAAGCUAUAUGGUAUAGACCUCAAUACCAUGGUGGUAAGUAGGACCCAGACAAAACUUGAAUUGAUUUGUGUAUGCAGGUGAAGAACCGAAUCAAUCAUGUCUCUUGUAGGUCUCCACCUGUUUGGUUUUUUUUGUCCAUCCUUUAGUGUUGCUGUUGUGCCCUAUUCUAAACAUCGUAGUGUGGUUGAACCAACUGGUAUCAGUAGCGUUUAACCUUGUUUGUAGUUCUUUUUCUCUGACCUAGUGGUGCUGUGGGCCAGUCUACUGGGGGAAGUUAGUUACCCUGGCAGAGGUCCCUUCAUGGUUCGCUGUGAUUAAAGGCACCAGGAUGUACAAUUGCUGAGUGAUUUGGUCGCUGUGACUGCAUGUAUGCAAACAUUUUCCAGUUUCCUUAUUUAAUAAAACUUUAUAUUGA